CGCGGGCCCGGUUCAUUGUCCUUAUUCCCCUCAUCGAUGCCUUUUUCCCUCGUUCUCCCCCGCUCUCCUCCAGGCUCACUGGAAGGUCCGGAAGUGCCGCCCCCGGGAGCCGCCGGCGCCAGGUGAGAAGUAACACCUGUGGAACACAACUGCCAGUCCUGGGCUAAAAGCACUCCUGCUGUGAAACCAGAUGAAUUCAGGGUUGGAAAGCAGCAGUGCCAGAAUCUACAGGACUGACAGUCAGUGUGAAUGGUGCAACCCCCACAGGAUAUCCUUGACUUAACAUAACUUUGCUCCCAAGGUGAGUGGCACAGUGCUGGCUGGGGAUGGAAAAUGCCCAUGCUUUAGGUAGAGGGCAGAACACUGUACAGAGGGCAGUUAUUGCAAGCCACUUAGGAGAACGUAAAAUACAGGGAGCUCAGGCUUGUGCAUUGUGACUUCAACUCUUCUGGCACCCCAAUUUCCAUAAUGCAUUAAAAUUCUGUGACUCCCAACUGCUUGGUAGAAGUUGGAGGGAAAACUUAAAAUUACCCUUUAUUAAUAAGUCUGCAUGUUUUUCUGCAGCUUUUCCAGAUCUAAUGCAAAAUUUAAGUGUUGGCCAAUUUUAGCCAAAACUGACCUCUCACCUUUCUGGGGUGGUGUGAAGCUAUGGAGUUUGAGCAUCCAAGAACCAGAACUUUUCUCUGAGGUGGUAUUGUUCCUGUAAAAAGACUUUUAAAGUUUAUUGCAUUCUCUUUCCUCCUGCUGUGCUUGGUGUACCCAGUCUGUAACUGGUUCUGUGCUAGAUGCCCCGCAAGCAGCUUGCUGUAGUUAACAAAAAACCCCACAGAAAUAAAUGCUUUUUGGGAUGGGAAGUUCAGCUUAGGCAGAGUGAAAAUGGAGCCAUUGGUGAGUGUUCCAGGCAGUGAGCCACUGUUUGUCAGUGCUGACAGUGUCACCUCGGAGUGUGUGCCCAGCCAGGGCAGAAGAGCAGAGCAGCUGGGGAGCUAAAGUCCUGCAGAGAGUGAAGAACUGCACAGAGGAAGCGUGGGGCUCCUAGGAAGAGGUAGUAGGUUGCAUAGUUUUAGGGCAGGGAUUUUGCUCACAAGGAGGUAACUAUACAACCUGCUGCCUUUCUUAGGGCUUUGUUAUAACACCAGGACCUUUUGGGCUCCAGCCUGCAAACCUCUGCAGCUUUGGGACAUGGAGAGAAAGCACAAGGUAUUUCUAAGUGUGCUGAGGCUUAAUGAAAACUGUGUCUUGGCCGAUUUGGUCUGCAGUGGAAGUGCAGGAAUGCUGGCUGGAAUGCAGCGUGGUGACAUUGGGGACACUGGGCUGUGGUGAGUAAGAGGCUGUGCUGGGAAGGCAGCUCCUUCCAGAGUAAGCUGGAGGCCCUGAGGUUAGGGUGGAGGUGGUGUGAGCUUCUGAACGUCAAGGUACUGGUACUGUGUGCUCACAGGGAGCUGAAAUACACCUUCCUUUGGCAUGGUGCAUUUCAAGUGGAAAAACUGCAGCUUUCCUUCCCCAAAAGUAUCAGAUUCCAGCUCCCCUGAAAGCUGGUGCUUUCUCAGCAGGCAUGGGCACUCAGGGUGAAACAAGCUCUCAGUGGUGCAUUAUUUACCGUGCUGCAGGAGGGAAGUUUCCAGUUAAAAAUGGUGGUGUGGUUUCUCAUGGAAUUGUUAAAAAUCAGUCCAUGCUUUUUGAUGUAAUUGCAGUGCACCACAGCAAUAGUUCUGGUAGGGCUCUGGCUGGGCACUGUUCUUUGGGAUACUGUGAUGUCAAUUCUGAGCACCUUGCAGCAUUAAUGUACUGGGCUCACACCAGCCACUCUUUAAAUUGCAAAUCAGACACAGUCCUAGUUUAUAAACAUGUUGAGUAUUGCUUAUGUUGAACAUUUUGUGUGAAUUUAACUGUACUUUUUUGAUUUAGUUAAUAAAAUACAGCAUUUUGUGCAA
Molecule: non-coding RNA, 1934 nt
Organism: Agelaius phoeniceus (red-winged blackbird)
Lineage: Eukaryota; Metazoa; Chordata; Aves; Passeriformes; Icteridae
Source: RefSeq, a predicted model, not a curated record